RNAcentral lists this microRNA precursor (98 nucleotides) under Chlorocebus sabaeus (green monkey). RNAcentral's name for it is "miRNA (ENSCSAG00000027388.1)". Lineage: Eukaryota; Metazoa; Chordata; Mammalia; Primates; Cercopithecidae. The record is from RNAcentral.
AGGUGGGAGGAUCGCUUGAGCCUGGGAGGUGGAGGUUGCAGUGAGCCAAGAUCACACCACUGUACUCCAGCCUGGGCAACAGAGUGAGGCCCUGUCUC